This is a long non-coding RNA of Homo sapiens (human), 8328 nucleotides long. Lineage: Eukaryota; Metazoa; Chordata; Mammalia; Primates; Hominidae. The record is from Ensembl.
GGGGAGCUCGGCUCUUAAGAUACGAGUCUGCCAAUGCUCCCGGCCAAAUAAAAAACCUCUUCCUUCUUUAAUCUGGUGUCUGAGGAGUUUUGUCUGUGACUCGUCCUGCUACAUUUCUUGGUUCCCUGGCCAGGAAGCAAGGUAAUUGAAGGACAGUCGAGGCAGCCCCUUAGGUGGCUUAGGCCUGCCCUGUGGAGCAUCCCUGCAGGGGACUCUGGCCAGCUUGAGUGACGCGGAUCCUGAGAGCGCUCCCAGGUAGGCAAUUACCCCGGUGGAAAGCCUCGUCAGAGCAGUGCGUGGCAGGCCCCUGUGGAGGAUCAAUGCAGUGGCUGAACACUGGGAAGGAACAGGCACUUGGAGUCCAGACAUUUGAAACUUGGUAAGACUGGUCUUCGGAACUUGCCCACUCCAUUUGAGUGGAAGCGUGGCCUGAUCAACCACGGCAUGCCUGUACUGGCACUUUGGUUUUUGUUUUUGACUUGACUUGAAUUGCUUGAUACUUUGGUUUUGGUUUGACCUGGCUUGGAUUUCUGGAUACUCUGAUUUUGGUUUUGAUUCUGGUUUGGUGAAAACUGAAAAAGUGUGUGUGUGCACUUUUUACCCAUUCUUUGUUUUGUGGUGUGCAUGUGGUGUGAGCUUGGUGUUUUGUCUUGAGGAAACAUGGAUCAGACACAAAAUAAGCCUACUCCUCUAGGAACUAUGUUGAAAAAUUUUAAGAAGGGAUUUAAUGGAGACUAUGGGGUUACUAUGACACCAGGGAAACUUAGAACUUUGUGUGAAAUAGAUUGGCCAACAUUAGAAGUGGGUUGGCCAUCAGAAGGAAGCCUGGACAGGUCCCUUGUUUCUAAGGUAUGGCACAAGGUAACUAGUAAGUCAGGACACUCAGACCAGUUUCCAUACAUAGACACUUGGUUACAGCUGGUGCUAGACCCCCCACAGUGGCUAAGAGGGCAGGCAGCAGCAGUGCUAGUAGCAAAGGGACAGAUAGUCAAGGAAGGAUUCUGCUCCACCCGCUGAGGGAAAUCAACUCCUGAAGUUCUGUUCGACCAAACAUCAGAAGAUCCAUUGCAGGAGAUGGCACCAGUGAUCCCAGUGUUGCCCUCCCCUUAUCAGGGAGAGAGGCUCCCCACUUUUGAGUCCACAGUGCUUGCGCCUCUGCCAGACAAAUGUAUCCCUAGGCCACUCAGAGUAGACAAGAGAGGAGGUGAAGCCUCGGGAGAAACCCCUCCCUUGGCAGCUCAUUUAAGACCCAAAACAGGGAUACAAAUGCCCCUGAGAGAGCAGCAGUAUACUGGAAUAGAUGAGGAUGGGCACAUGGUGGAGAGUCGUGUUUUUGUGUACCAGCCCUUCACCUCUGCCGACCUUCUCAACUGGAAAAACAAUACCCCGUCCUAUACUGAAAAGCCGCAAGCUCUAAUUGAUUUGCUCCAAACUAUUAUCCAGACCCAUAACCCCACUUGGGCUGAUUGCCACCAGUUGCUCAUGUUCCUCUUUAAAACAGAUGAAAGGUGAAGGGUGCUUCAAGCAGCAACUAAGUGGCUAGAGGAACAUGCACUGGCUGAUUACCAAAACCCCCAAGAGUAUGUAAGGACACAGUUACCAGGAACCGACCCCCAGUGGGACCCAAAUUAAAGAGAGGAUAUGCAAAGGCUAAACCGAUACAGGAAAGCUCUCUUAGAAGGAUUAAAGAGGAGAGCCCAGAAGGCCACAAACAUUAACAAGGUCUCUGAGGUCAUUCAGGGAAAAGAAGAAAGUCCAGCAAAAUUCUACGAGAGACUGUGUGAGGCUUAUUGUAUGUAUACUCCCUUUGAUCCCGAUAGCCCUGAAAAUCAACGCAUGAUUAACAUGGCUUUAGUUAGUCAAAGCACAGAAGACAUUAGAAGAAAACUGCAGAAAAAGGCUGGGUUUGCAGGGAUGAACACAUCACAGUUAUUAGAAAUAGCCAACCAGGUGUUUGUAAACAGGGAUGCAGCAAGCCGUAAGGAAAACCACAUAGAGAAUGAACGUCAGGCCCGGCGAAACGCCGACCUGUUAGCUGCAGCAAUUAGAGGGGUCCCCCCAAAGAGGCAAGGGAAAAGGGGGGCCCUGGGAAAGAAACUCAGCCUGGCUGUCAGAGCUUGCAGUGUAAUCAGUGUGCUUAUCGUAAAGAAAUAGGAUAUUGGAAGAACAAAUGCCCUCAGCUAAAAGGAAAACAAGGUGACUCGGAGCAGGAGGCUCCAGACAAGGAGGAAGGGGCCCUGCUCAACCUGGCAGAAGGGUUAUUGGACUGAGGGGGACUGGGCUCAAGGACCUCCAAAGAGCCUAUGGUCAGGAUGACAGUUGGGGGUAAAGACAUUGAUUUUCUUGUAGAUACCAGUGCUGAACAUUCGGUAGUAACUGCCUCAGUCGCCCCCUUAUCCAAAAAGACUAUUGACAUCAUCGGAGCCAUGGGAGUUUCAGCAAAACAAGCUUUCUGCUUGCCCCAGACUUGUACUAUAGGAGGACAUAAAGUGAUUCAUCAGUUUUUGUACAUGCCUGAUUGUCCCUUGCCCUUGUUGGGAAGAGACUUGCUUAGCAAACUGAGAGCCACUAUCUCUUUUACAGAGCACGGCUCUUUGCUGCUAAAGUUACCCGGAACAGGAGUCAUUAUGACCCUUAUGCUCCCCCGAGAGGAGGAAUGGAGACUUUUCUUAACUGAGCCGGGCCAAGAGAUAAGACCAGCUCUGGCUAAGCGGUGGCCAAGAGUGUGGGCGGAAGACAACCCUCCAGGGUUGGCAGUCAACCAAGCCCCCGUGCUUAUAGAAGUUAAGCCUGGGGUCCAGCCGGUUAGGCAAAAACAGUACCCGGUCCUCAGAGAAGCUCUUGAAGGUAUCCAGGUCCAUCUCAAGUGCCUAAGAACCUUUAGAAUUAUAGUUCCUUGUCAGUCUCCAUGGAACACUCCCCUCCUGCCUGUUCCCAAGCCUGGGACCAAGGACUACAGGCCGGUACAGGAUUUGCGCUUGGUUAAUCAGGCUACAGUGACUUUACAUCCAACAGUACCUAACCUGUACACAUUGCUGGGGUUGCUGCCAGCUGAGGACAGCUGGUUCACCUGCUUGGACCUGAAAGAUGCUUUCUUUAGCAUCAGAUUAGCCCCUGAGAGACAGAAGCUGUUUGCCUUUCAGUGGGAAGAUCCAGAGUCAGGUGUCACUACUCAAUACACUUGGACCCAGCUUCCCCAAAGGUUCAAGAACUCCCCCACCAUCUUUGGGGAGGCGUUGGCUCGAGACCUCCAGAAGUUUCCCACCAGAGACCUAGGCUGCGUGUUGCUCCAGUACGUUGAUGACCUUUUGCUGGGACACCCCACGGCAGUCGGGUGCGCCAAGGGAACAGAUGCUCUACUCCGGCACCUGGAGGACUGUGGGUAUAAGGUGUCCAAGAAAAAAAGCUCAGAUCUGCCGACAGCAGGUAUGUUACUUGGGAUUUACUAUCCAACAGGGGGAGCACAGCCUGGGAUCAGAAAGAAAGCAGGUCAUUUGUAAUCUACCGGAGCCUAAGACCAGAAGGCAGGUGAGAGAAUUCUUAGGGGCUGUGGGUUUUUGCAGACUGUGGAUCCCAAACUUUGCAGUAUUAGCUAAGCCUUUGUAUGAGGUCACAAAGGCGGGGGACCAGGAACCUUUUGAAUGGGGAUCCCAGCAACAGCAAGCCUUUCAUGAGUUAAAGGAAAGACUUAUGUCAGUCCCAGCCCUGGGGCUACCUGAUCUGACAAAGCCUUUUACAUUGUAUGUGUCAGAGAGUGAAAAGAUGGCAGUUGGAGUUUUAACCCAAACUGUGGGGCCCUGGCUGAGGCCGGUGGCCUACCUCUCUAAACAACUAGACGGGGUUUCUAAAGGAUGGCCCCCGUGUUUGAGGGCCUUGGCAGCAACUGCCCUGCUAGUACAAGAAGCAGAUAAGCUGAUUCUUGGGCAAAACCUGAACAUAAAGGACCCCCAUGCUGUGGUGACUUUAAUGAAUACUAGAGGACAUCAUUGGCUAACGAAUGCUAGACUUACUAAGUACCAAAGUUUGCUUUGUGAAAAUCCCCAUAUAACCAUUGAAGUUUGUAACACCCUGAACCCCGCUACCUUGCUCCCAGUAUUAGAGAUCCCUGUCGAGCAUGACUGUGUAGAAGUGUUGGACUCAGUUUACUCUGGGCAUCAGUAGACUGGGAACUAUACGUGGAUGGGAGCAGCUUUGUCAACCCACAAGAAGAGAGAUGUGCAGGGUAUGCGGUGGUAACUCUGGACACUGUUGCUGAAGCCAGAUCGUUUCCCCAGGGCACUUCAACUCAGAAAGCUGAACUCAUUGCUUUAAUUCGGGCCUUAGAACUCAGUGAAGGUAAGACUGUAAACAUUUACACUGACUCUUGAUAUGUCUUUUUAACCCUUCAAGUGCAUGGAGCAUUAUGUAAAGAAAAGGGCCUAUUGAACUCUGGGGGAAAAGACAUAAAAUAUCAACAAGAAAUCUUGCAAUUAUUAGAAGCAGUAUGGAAACCCCACAAGGUGGCUGUUAUACAUUGCGGAGGACACCAGUGAGCUUCCACCUUGGUGGGUUUGGGGAAUUCCUGCACUGACUUAGAGGCUCAAAAAGCAGCAUCUGCCCCCUUCCGGGCAUCAGUGACAGCCCCCCUGCUCCCUCAAGCACCUGAUCUUGUACCUACUUAUUCUAAAGAAGAAAAGGACUUUCUCCAGGCAGAGGGAGGACAAGUGAUGGAGGAAGGAUGGAUUUGGUUACCAGAUGGGAGAGUAGCUGUGCCACAGCUGCUAGGAGCUGCAGUUGUACUGGCUGUGCAUAAAACCACCCAUCUAGGUCAGGAAUCACUUGAAAAGUUGUUAGGCUGGUAUUUCUACAUCUCGCAUUUGUCAGCCCUUGCCAAAACAGUGACGCAGCGGUGUGUUACCUGCCGACAGCAUAAUGCGAGACAAGGUCCAGCUGUUCCCCCUGGCAUACAAGCUUAUGGAGCAGCCCCCUUUGAAGAUCUCCAGGUGGACUUCACAGAGAUGCCAAAGUGUGGAGGUAACAAGUAUUUACUAGUUCUUGUGUGUACCUACUCUGGGCAGGUGGAGGCUUAUCCAACACGAACUGAGAAAGCUCAUGAAGUAACUCGUGUGCUUCUUCGAGAUCUUAUUCCUAGAUUUGGACUGCCCUUACGGAUUGGCUCAGAUAAUGGGCUGGUGUUUGUGGCUGACUUGGUACAGAAGACGGCAAAGGUAUUGGGGAUCACAUGGAAACUGCAUGCUGCCUACCAGCCUCAGAGUUCCGGAAAGGUAGAGCGGAUGAAUCGGACUAUCAAAAAUAGUUUAGGGAAAGUAUGUCAAGAAACAGGAUUAAAAUGGAUACAGGCUCUUCCUAUGGUAUUAUUUAAAAUUAGAUGUACCCCUUCUAAAAGAACAGGAUAUUCCCCUUAUGAAAUAUUAUAUCAUAGGCCCCCUCCUAUAUUGCGGGGACUUCCAGGCACUCCCCGAGAGUUAGGUGAAAUUGAGUUACAGCGAUAGCUACAGGCUUCAGGAAAAAUUACACAAACAAUCUCGGCCUGGGUAAAUGAGAGAUGCCCUGUUAACUUAUUCUCCCCAGUUCACCCUUUCUCCCCAGGUGAUCUAGUGUGGAUCAAGGACUGAAACGUAGCCUGUUUGUGUCCACGGUGGAAAGGACCCCAGACUGUCAUCCUGAGCACUCCCACCGCUGUGAAGGUAGAGGGAAUCCCAACCUGGAUCCACCACAGCCGUGUAAAACCUGCAGUGCCUGAAACCUGGGAGGCAAGACCAAGCCCAGAAAACCCCUGCAGAGUGACCCCGAAGAAGACAACAAGCCCUGCUCCAGUCACACCCGGAAGCUGACUGGUCCACGCACGGCCGAAGCAUGCAGAAGCUCAUCAUGGGAUUCAUUUUUCUUAAAUUUUGGACUUAUACAGUAAGGGCUUCAACUGAUCUUACUCAAACUGGGGACUGUUCCCAGUGUAUUCAUCAGGUCACCGAGGUAGGACAGCAAAUUAAAACAAUGUUUCUGUUCUAUAGUUAUUAUAAAUGUAUAGGAACAUUAAAAGAAACUUGUUUGUAUAAUGCUACUCAGUACAAUGUAUGUAGCCCAGGAAAUGACCGACCUGAUGUGUGUUAUAACCCAUCUGAGCCUCCUGCAACCACCAUUUUUGAAAUAAGAAUAAGAACUGGCCUUUUCCUAGGUGAUACAAGUAAAAUAAUAACUAGAACAGAAGAAAAAGAAAUCCCCAAACAAAUAACUUUAAGAUUUGAUGCUUGUGCAGCCAUUAAUAGUAAAAAGCUAGGAAUAGGAUGUGAUUCUCUUAACUGGGAAAGGAGCUACAGAAUAAAAAAUAAAUAUGUUUGUCAUGAGUCAGGGGUUUGUGAAAAUUGUGCCUAUUGGCCAUGUGUUAUUUGGGCUACUUGGAAAAAGAACAAAAAGGACCCGGUUUAUCUUCAGAAGGGGGAAGCCAACCCCUCCUGUGCUGCUGGUCACUGUAACCCACUAGAACUAAUAAUUACCAAUCCCCUAGAUCCCCAUUGGAAAAAGGGAGAACGUGUAACCCUGGGGAUUGAUGGGACAGGGUUAAACCCCCAAGUUGCCAUUUUAAUUAGAGGGGAGGUCCACAAGUGCUCUCCCAAACCAGUAUUUCAAACCUUUUAUAAGGAGCUGAAUCUGCCAGCACCAGAAUUUCCAAAAAAGACAAAAAAUUUGUUUCUCCAAUUAGCAGAAAAUGUAGCUCAUUCCCUUAAUGUUACUUCUUGUUAUGUAUGCGGGGGAACCACUAUCGGAGACCGAUGGCCUUGGGAAGCCCGAGAGUUGGUGCCUACUGAUCCAGCUCCUGAUAUAAUUCCAGUUCAGAAAACCCAAGCUAGCAACUUCUGGGUCCUAAAAACCUCAAUUAUUGGACAAUACUGUAUAGCUAGAGAAGGGAAAGACUUUAUCAUCCCUGUAGGAAAGCUUAAUUGUAUAGGACAGAAGUUGUAUAACAGUACAACAAAGACAAUUACUUGGUGGGGCAUAAACCACACUGAAAAGAAUCCAUUUAGUAAAUUUUCAAAAUUAAAAACUGCUUGGGCUCAUCCAGAAUCUCAUCAGGACUGGAUGGCUCCCGCUGGACUAUACUGGAUAUGUGGGCACAGAGCCUACAUUCGGUUACCUAAUAAAUAGGCAGGCAGUUGUGUUAUUGGCACUAUUAAGUCGUCCUUUUUCUUAUUACCCAUAAAAACAGGUGAGACCCUAGGUUUCCCUGUCUAUGCCUCCCGAGAAAAGAGAGGCAUAGUUAUAGGAAACUGGAAAGAUAAUGAGUGGCGCCCUGAAAGGAUCAUACAGUAUUAUGGGCCUGCCACAUGGGCACAAGACGGCUCAUGGGGAUACCGAACCCCCAUUUACAUGCUCAAUCGGAUCAUACGGUUGCAGGCCAUCUUAGAAAUAAUUACUAAUGAAACUGGCAGAGCUUUGACUGUUUUAGCUCGGCAGGAAACCCAAACGAGGAAUGCUAUCUAUCAGAAUAGACUGGCCUUGGACUACUUGCUAGCAGCUGAAGGAGGAGUUUGUGGAAAAUUUAACUUAACCAAUUACUGCCUACAAAUAGAUGAUCAAGGACAGGUGGUUGAAAACAUAGUCAGGGACAUGACAAAGGUGGCACAUGUGCCUGUACAGGUUUGGCACAAGUUUAAUCCUGAGUCUUUAUUUGGAAAAUGGUUUCCAGCUAUAGGAGGAUUUAAAACCCUCAUUGUAGGUGUAUUGCUAGUGAUAGGAACUUGCUUGCUGCUCCCCUGUGUAUUACCCUUGCUUUUUCAAAUGAUAAAAUAUUUUGUUGUUACUUUAGUUCAUCAGAAAACUUCAGCACAUGUGUAUUAUACAAAUCACUAUCGCUCUAUCUCACAAAGAGACUAAAAAAGUGAGGACGAGAGUAAGAACUCCCACUAAAAGUGAAAAUUCUCAAAGGGGGGGAAAUAUGGUAUGAGGUCGCCACUUCUCCUGUUGUCCUUCUCAGUUUCUCCCCAACCUCCCCUUUUCCCUAGUUUAUAAGACAGGAGAAAAGGGAGAAAGCAAAAAGUUGAAAAGAAACAGAAGUAAGAUAAAUAGCUAGACGACCUUGGCACCACCACCUGGCCCUGGUGGCUAAAAUAAUAAUAAUAUUAUUAACCCCUGACCAAAACUAUUGGUGUUAUCUGUAAAUUCCAGACACUGUAUGAGAAAAUACUGUAAAACUUUUUGUUCUGUUAGCUGAUGUAUGUAGCCCCCAGUCAUGUUUCUCACGCUUACUUGAUCUAUUAUGACUUUUUCAUGUAGACCCCUUAGAGUUGUAAGCCCUUAAAAGGGCUAAGAAUUUCUUUUUCGGGGAGCUCG